GCCGCGUGUAGGAAGAAUGCCCUAUGGGUUGUAAACUACUUUUAUACAGGAAGAAACACUGGUAUGUAUACCAGCUUGACGGUACUGUAAGAAUAAGGACCGGCUAACUCCGUGCCAGCAGCCGCGGUAAUACGGAGGGUCCGAGCGUUAUCCGGAAUCAUUGGGUUUAAAGGGUCCGCAGGCGGUCAAUUAAGUCAGAGGUGAAAUACCAUAGCUCAACUAUGGAACUGCCUUUGAUACUGGUUGACUUGAGUCAUAUGGAAGUAGAUAGAAUGUGUAGUGUAGCGGUGAAAUGCAUAGAUAUUACACAGAAUACCGAUUGCGAAGGCAGUCUACUACGUAUGUACUGACGCUGAGGGACGAAAGCGUGGGGAGCGAACAGGAUUAGAUACCCUGGUAGUCCACGCCGUAAACGAUGGAUACUAGUUGUUGGGCAUUA
Molecule: ribosomal RNA, 439 nt
Filed under: Arctic sea ice bacterium AWS-6B2
Lineage: Bacteria; Pseudomonadati; Bacteroidota
Description: bacterial SSU rRNA
Rfam family: Bacterial small subunit ribosomal RNA
Source: RNAcentral